AGAGUGCUCAGCGCCUCAGCAGAUGUAGACCUGGAUGACUCAAAAGCAGCUUUGAAAGGUUACUCAAUUUGAGGUUGGUCUGAGCUCAGUUUGAUAAUUGUGUGCAGAUUUGUGUCACCGUGUGCAUUUUUGGGCUAUGUUCGACGCCAUACUUCAACUGGUUUGCAUGGUGAGGGAAGGGCGCUCUGCAACUGCCACAGCCCAAGAUGCACUUAUAGUUUGUCACACAUUGUCAAUUUUACUCGAGAUGUCAGCUGGACCUAGACACCCUGUGAUGGAAAAGCCGAAGAAGCAUAGGAUGAAUUCAUCCCAAAACAUUGUUUAUCCUUUGAACUUUGAGUUACUAAUCCGGUGGUGCAUUCAUCCCAACUUUGAUUCUGCAUUCUAGUUCGUCAGCUAGCUUUCCUCGUUAGUUUUAUUCAGUGAUCUUCACAGAGUUGUCUGGUUGCCGACUGGGUGUCUAGGAUUCACACCUUGUUUUUUUUUUCUUUCCUGGACGUUUGAGCCAGGCAACAGGAAGAGAGAAGGCAGCCAUCAUCGGAUUUUGAUACUUCAUCCCUGCAUAUAAGAUAAUAUUUUGAAUUAACUAUUGAACUUCAGAAUUUUUUUUAAAAAAAAAAAAUUGACAAUAUGGGAUUUAGUUGGCAAUGUUACCAAUUAUAUCUUCGAUGUUCUUAAGGUUUCAGUAAAAGAUUUUAUUCUGUAUAUCUUUUUCUGUGUUGGAACUGCCUUGAAAGUUGGUGGAGCCUGUCUAAAAUACUGAUGAAUGUAAAAUACAUUUUUGUAACAUAUCAAUCUUGAUAUUGGCAUUUUGAAAUUUUAGGAUCUUUAGUUCAAUGUGUUAAAAAUAAUUUAAUAAAAUUAAAAUAAAUAAUUUUUUUUUCCUUUAAGACAGAAUAAUCUUUAACUUUUUGAAAAAGUUAUAAAAAAAACUAAUUAAAUGAGAAGCUUUCACGUGAAG
RNAcentral lists this long non-coding RNA (961 nucleotides) under Manihot esculenta (cassava). RNAcentral's name for it is "long non-coding RNA (MESC_LNC010662)". Lineage: Eukaryota; Viridiplantae; Streptophyta; Magnoliopsida; Malpighiales; Euphorbiaceae. The record is from RNAcentral.